This 665-nucleotide ribosomal RNA is filed under the name Senna siamea. Its description in RNAcentral is "eukaryotic LSU rRNA". The stretch from base 270 to 425 matches the Rfam family "5.8S ribosomal RNA". Lineage: Eukaryota; Viridiplantae; Streptophyta; Magnoliopsida; Fabales; Fabaceae. The record is from RNAcentral.
AUCAUUGUUGAUGCCUCGCAAACAGGACGACUUGCGAACUGGUUGAAUUAAUCUCGGGGAGGCACACGAGGGGUCCACAUUGCCCCGAGUUGCCAGCCCCUUGCCGGGGGCGCAAGAGCGGCCUCGUGCUGCUGCUAGUGUGCCCCGGGCAGCACAACAACUAUGGCCCCGGCGCCGGACGCGCCAAGGAACUCGAACAAACGUGCGUAGCCCCGGCGAUCCGGAUACGGAUCCCGCUCGGGGUAAGUCGCGAGAAUGGUGUCCAAAAUGACUCUCGGCAACGGAUAUCUCGGCUCUCGCAUCGAUGAAGAACGUAGCGAAAUGCGAUACUUGGUGUGAAUUGCAGAAUCCCGUGAACCAUCGAGUCUUUGAACGCAAGUUGCGCCCGAAGCCAUUAGGCCGAGGGCACGUCUGCCUGGGUGUCACGCAUUGCUGUCCCAAACCCAGACGCCCCUCGAACUGAUCGGAGGGGGGGAGGCGCUUGGGCGAAAGUUGGCCUCCCGCGAGCAUUGCCUCGCGGAUGGUUGAAAAACGAGCCCACGAGUGAUGACCGCCACGUUCACGGUGGACGAGCGAAAGCCUCGAGCCCGACCGUGCGCAUGAUGUCCCUUUGUCUAGGCUGCGAGACCCGUGCAAGCAAGAAAGCGCUCACAACGCGACCCCAG